RNAcentral lists this ribosomal RNA (1449 nucleotides) under uncultured organism. Its description in RNAcentral is "SSU rRNA". It matches the Rfam family "Bacterial small subunit ribosomal RNA". The record is from RNAcentral.
CAUUAUUGAACGCUGGCGGCAGGCCUAACACAUGCAAGUCGAGCGGUAGCACAGAGAGCUUGCUCUCGGGUGACGAGCGGCGGACGGGUGAGUAAUGUCUGGGAAACUGCCUGAUGGAGGGGGAUAACUACUGGAAACGGUAGCUAAUACCGCAUAACGUCGCAAGACCAAAGUGGGGGACCUUCGGGCCUCAUGCCAUCAGAUGUGCCCAGAUGGGAUUAGCUAGUAGGUGGGGUAACGGCUCACCUAGGCGACGAUCCCUAGCUGGUCUGAGAGGAUGACCAGCCACACUGGAACUGAGACACGGUCCAGACUCCUACGGGAGGCAGCAGUGGGGAAUAUUGCACAAUGGGCGCAAGCCUGAUGCAGCCAUGCCGCGUGUGUGAAGAAGGCCUUCGGGUUGUAAAGCACUUUCAGCGGGGAGGAAGGCGUUAAGGUUAAUAACCUUGGCGAUUGACGUUACCCGCAGAAGAAGCACCGGCUAACUCCGUGCCAGCAGCCGCGGUAAUACGGAGGGUGCAAGCGUUAAUCGGAAUUACUGGGCGUAAAGCGCACGCAGGCGGUCUGUCAAGUCGGAUGUGAAAUCCCCGGGCUCAACCUGGGAACUGCAUUCGAAACUGGCAGGCUAGAGUCUUGUAGAGGGGGGUAGAAUUCCAGGUGUAGCGGUGAAAUGCGUAGAGAUCUGGAGGAAUACCGGUGGCGAAGGCGGCCCCCUGGACAAAGACUGACGCUCAGGUGCGAAAGCGUGGGGAGCAAACAGGAUUAGAUACCCUGGUAGUCCACGCCGUAAACGAUGUCGAUUUGGAGGUUGUGCCCUUGAGGCGUGGCUUCCGGAGCUAACGCGUUAAAUCGACCGCCUGGGGAGUACGGCCGCAAGGUUAAAACUCAAAUGAAUUGACGGGGGCCCGCACAAGCGGUGGAGCAUGUGGUUUAAUUCGAUGCAACGCGAAGAACCUUACCUGGUCUUGACAUCCACAGAACUUUCCAGAGAUGGAUUGGUGCCUUCGGGAACUGUGAGACAGGUGCUGCAUGGCUGUCGUCAGCUCGUGUUGUGAAAUGUUGGGUUAAGUCCCGCAACGAGCGCAACCCUUAUCCUUUGUUGCCAGCGGUUCGGCCGGGAACUCAAAGGAGACUGCCAGUGAUAAACUGGAGGAAGGUGGGGAUGACGUCAAGUCAUCAUGGCCCUUACGACCAGGGCUACACACGUGCUACAAUGGCAUAUACAAAGAGAAGCGACCUCGCGAGAGCAAGCGGACCUCAUAAAGUAUGUCGUAGUCCGGAUUGGAGUCUGCAACUCGACUCCAUGAAGUCGGAAUCGCUAGUAAUCGUAGAUCAGAAUGCUACGGUGAAUACGUUCCCGGGCCUUGUACACACCGCCCGUCACACCAUGGGAGUGGGUUGCAAAAGAAGUAGGUAGCUUAACCUUCGGGAGGGCGCUUACCACUUUGU